Molecule: ribosomal RNA, 210 nt
Filed under: uncultured bacterium
Lineage: Bacteria
Description: partial 16S ribosomal RNA
Rfam family: Bacterial small subunit ribosomal RNA
Source: RNAcentral
UCGGAUUGUAGUCUGCAACUCGACUACAUGAAGCUGGAAUCGCUAGUAAUCGCGAAUCAGCAUGUCGCGGUGAAUACGUUCCCGGGUCUUGUACACACCGCCCGUCACACCAUGGGAGUCAGUAACGCCCGAAGCCGGUGACCCAACCGAAACCGGAGGGAGCCGUCGAAGGUGGGACCGAUAACUGGGGUGAAGUCGUAACAAGGUACC